This is a long non-coding RNA of Homo sapiens (human), 2149 nucleotides long. RefSeq annotates it as long independently transcribed non-coding RNA 293. Lineage: Eukaryota; Metazoa; Chordata; Mammalia; Primates; Hominidae. The transcript is spliced from 12 exons. The record is from RefSeq and is marked validated.
AGUCCUUCCCACAGAGAGCGGUUUGAUAUGUCACUGAAACCAGCAUCCAGGUGGUAUUGCUCCAUAUGCCUGAGACCCUAACAAAAGCCUAAUUACAACUCAUAUGCCUGGAGCCAGGACAUGUGCAGGAUGGUGAUGUAACUUUCCUCUCUGGAAUGGGUCCUGCACAAAGGAAUGAUAGUAACAUAUUGCAAAGCCAGACACACAGCCAUGAUGGUCCAAGUUAUAUUGGGAUUCAGCCAAUAGAAGAUAUUUUGCCUGUCAUCCCUAAGCUUAGGACAAUAGGGUCCUGCCCACAAGAAAGAUUGUGACAUCUCACUGGACAAGCACCCACCCAGACUCUGCCAAGAGAGGGGAUUAUUACAUAUUGCAGAGCCCAGCACCUAGGUGGAGUGACUCUCAUCUUUUUCUUCUACCCCGUAUAUAGCCAGCUUGGUGACCUACUAUUUGAGUCUAUACCCAGGCCCAGACCACAGAUGAAAUUGUGCAAUAUGUGGAACAAACACCUAAACAAUAUAUAACACCUUCCUUGGCUCUGUCUACAAAGGGCACUUUUAUAUAUCACUGGGACCAUCAACCAGGUGAUGUUGUGCCAUAUAACUGAGACCGUAUCAAAAGCCUAAUAACAAGACGUAUGUCUGGAGCCCCGAUAUGCACAGGAUGGUGAUAUAACCCUCUUCUCUGGAAUGGGCCCCACACAAAGGAAGGAUAGUGACAUAUUGCAAGCCCAGGCACACAGGCCCAGAGCACAGUUGAAAUUGUGACAUAUGUACACCAAGCAACCAAGCAAUGUAUAACACCUCAUUUGGCAAUGGAAUCGAGGGCACUUUUACAUAUCACUGAGACCAGCGCCCAGCUGAUGUGAAAUAUUGGCCUGAACCCUGCCUACAAAAGCAUUGUGGCUUUUAUCUAGCUCCAUUACAUAAGUGAUGUGACUUCCUUCUACUGCCUUGGCCCUGCACUUAUGGUGAAUCGUGACACAAAAUUGGGUAGAGCAACCAGCCUGGGCCCUGACCAGCACAGAGAUUGAGGCAUAUUGCUGAACCCAGGACCAAGAUGAAGUCACUCUCCUGCCUUGAUCCUGCACACAGGGACCCUUGUGACAUAUAUACAGGCCAAUUGCCUAGGUGAUGUUGUGCAAUAUACCUGAGACCAGAUCAAUGGCCUAAUAAUGACUCUUUUACCUAGAGCCAGGACAUGUGCAGGAUGGUAACUCUCAUCCCUGAACCUUUCCACAGGUGUUAUUGUCACAUAUACCUUUUCCAGCUCCAAAGUGAUUUAAUAAUCCAGCCUAGUUAUAGCCCACAGAUAAUAUUUGGACAUAUACCUGAGUCAAGAACCUUGGUGAUUUGACUCUCAUGUCUUAACAGUGUCCUCAGAAGGGAUCAUAACAUAUCUCUGGACCCAUCAUCUAGGUUAUGUGACUCUCUUCUCCUGCCUGAACCCUGCUUCCAGUGAAGAGUGUUGCAUUUCUAAGCACUGCAUCCAAAUGACAUGAGUUUCUUGCCUGGGCCGUUUCAACAGAAGGCAUUGUGACAUAUCUCUAGGUCUAUCAUUUAGGUGAUAUGACUCUCCUCUCCUGCCUGGACACUCUCCACAAGGGGCAUUAUGCCAUAGAGCUAGAGCUAGCAACCAAGUUUUGUGAAUUUUCUGUUAGGGCCUUGCCUACAAAGAGAAUUUUGGAAUAUUUCUGGCUUAGAAUUUAAGUAAUGUGGUUGUUCUGCCUGUUCAGUAACCACAGAGGAGAAGGUGAAAUAUAUCUAGGCACCGCAAACAGGCAUGAUAAUGAGUCUUGUAUGUGGACCCAGCAAAUAGGAGAAAUUUUGACUCUUAUAACUAGGUUUAGGAACAUGAGUGAUGUCCAGGAUCUCCUUCUGGUAAGAAGGUCACAGAAGAUUGCAACACUCACAAUUAUUUUGUAACACCUUUGGGUUGUAUAGGGAGUGUCGUAACAGGGCCAAACACACAGAGGAAAUUGUGACAGUCAUAUGCACACCUACCUGACAGUAAAGACUUUCACAAUCACAAAUGGAUGAAGGCAACUGUCCUACAUGAAAACAGGACAUGUGUGGUAUUGUACAUCUAAAACCUAGAAUUUUAUUCCAUUGUGACUGUGAUAUAAAUCAAUGCCAAGCACCUGCGUGAUUUC